CCAUGGGAACCAAGACACAAACUAACAUUCAUAUAACUAUGCAUUUAUUUUGUAUAUUUCACAGGAUGGAGGUAUGGGGUGAUGGAGGAAAGUAGGAAGGAGAAGAGAACACCAUCUGCUCGAUCCAAGCCAGGAGUCAGAGAAAUCUCUUCUACAGGUUUUCUGCUUGAACACGGCUUAACGCACCCUUCAUGAGGAUAUAACAUGGCAAGUUUAGAAUGUUGCUAUCUUUUUUUUUUUUUUCUUUUUUUUUGGAAAAUUUUUUAAUGAUGGUGUUGAACUGUACUAAAGAGAACUAAUGAAGCAGGAUAAGGAAAUGCUGAUCUAAGAGAGUCUAUAAACACUAGUGUAGAUUAUAUCCUUAAAGAGCUUGUGUUAAUAAGGCAAGUGAGCUCAAGUGUUAUCAGAGGGAACAAACUAAAUUACAUUGUAAACUGAUUUAUUAAGUCUACCUCCUUACACUCACUUGCCAGAUGACAUGAAGAUAUAAGAGAUUUGAUUUCUCUCCUACACACUGCCAUGUAGACCAAUGCUCAACAUCUGGUGGAUUAUGGUCUGGAAGUAUUUCACCAGCACGACCACUCGAACAUACUGUAACAGAACUGAUAACCACUUCCUUACACUAUAUAAACGAAGUACUGUAAAGAAGCUACGCAAAAAAAUAAAAACAGACUUGCAUAUUUUGUUUGUAAGACCUU
Long non-coding RNA from Ictalurus punctatus (channel catfish), 698 nucleotides. RefSeq lists it as uncharacterized. The record is from RefSeq and is a predicted model, not a curated record. NCBI's taxonomy places the organism in Eukaryota, Metazoa, Chordata, Actinopteri, Siluriformes, Ictaluridae. The transcript has 3 exons.